UGACUACUCACAUCCUUCCUUGACCUACCUUGCUUAAGAGCAGUGGUUUCAUUUGUCCUUCUCUGGUGUGCCAGAGAAUUCUCAGGCCUCAUUUGGAAUUUCCCCAAAGAUCUCUUAUGAACUAAAUGAUUGGCUGAGACAACUUAUAAAAAUGGGUAGGUUUAUUUUACCUCAUUUGGUACACAUUUGGUAACAGCAUGCUGUUACCAAAGGUGACAGUUUUCUUUCUAUGUGGCAAUAGGGAAAUUUGCUGGGGCAUCUCAGGAUAACAACCUAAAGCUGAAGGCCUGAUCUCACUUUGUUCCCUUCGCAUUUUCAAUUCAUGAAAGAGAGCAUUUGAUGAAGCUGUUUGGAGCAAAUUGGUGUGAGUCAUCUCUUUUUGCCUUGUUUGCACCAGCCAUCUCGGAGGUGUCUGGACUGCUUCAGGUCCAGCCUAUGUAGGUUUCUUCUCCCUUAUGCACACCUCCUGCUAUAAUCUGAUGUGGUUAGAGUGGGAAGCAGCUGACUCUGCCUUCCUAAGACGCUGAGAAAAACUGAGACAGAAAAAAGCAUUCAGGAUAUAGGCAUUCCUCAAAAGGCACAAAGGAAUAUAUGCUUCUCAGCUUCUUCUUCUUCUUUUCUUCUUCUUCUCCUCUUCUUCUUCUUGUUCUUGUUCUUCUUCUUCCUCUUCCUCUUCCCUUUCCCCUUCCCCUUCUGCUUCUCCUUCUUCUUAUUCCUCUUCUUCCUCCUCUUCCUCCUCUUCUUCUCCUUCUUCUCCUUCUUCCUCUUCUUCUUCUUCUUCUUCUUCUUCUUCUUCUUCUUCUUCUUCUUCUUCUUCUUCUUCCUCUUCUUCUUCUUCUUGUUCUUCUCCUUCUCCUCCUUCUCCUUCUCCUUCUCCUUCUCCUUCUUCUUCUUUUGAGACAGUCUCACUCUGUCACACAGGCUGGAGUGCAGUGGCA
Molecule: long non-coding RNA, 938 nt
Filed under: Homo sapiens (human)
Lineage: Eukaryota; Metazoa; Chordata; Mammalia; Primates; Hominidae
Description: HSALNT0101927
Source: RNAcentral